Molecule: ribosomal RNA, 269 nt
Filed under: uncultured bacterium
Lineage: Bacteria
Description: partial small subunit ribosomal RNA
Rfam family: Bacterial small subunit ribosomal RNA
Source: RNAcentral
AGAACGAACGCUGGCGGCGUGCUUAACACAUGCAAGUCGAGUGCGCGUUCUUGUAGCAAUACAGGAAUGGCGCACGGCGCACGGGUGCGUAACACGUGGGUAAUCUGCCCUCCGAUGGGGAAUAACCCCGCGAAAGCGGGGCUAAUUCCGCAUAAUAUUCCUUGGACUCCGGUUCGAGGAUUCAAAGGCGUAAGUCGUCGGAGGUGGAGCCCCGCGCCCGAUUAGCUAGUUGGUGAGGUAACGGCUCACCAAGGCAAUGAUCGGUAGCU